CGUAAGGCGCCGAACGAGUCAUUAAAAAUUAACAUCGUCCGAUCCCUAGUCGGCAUAGUUUAUGGUUAAGACUACGACGGUAUCUGAUCGUCUUCGAUCCCCUAACUUUCGUUCUUGAUUAAUGAAAACAUCCUUGGCAAAUGCUUUCGCAGAAGUUAGUCUUCAAUAAAUCCAAGAAUUUCACCUCUGACAAUUGAAUACUAAUGCCCCCAACUAUCCCUAUUAAUCAUUACGGUGAUCCUAGAAACCAACAAAAUAGAACCAUGCCGUCCUAUUUUAUUAUUCCAUGCUAAUCUAUUCAAGCACUAGCCUGCUUUAAGCACUCUAAUUUUUUCAAGGUAAUAGCUCUGCUUCCCCAG
Molecule: unclassified non-coding RNA, 359 nt
Filed under: uncultured Acaulospora
Lineage: Eukaryota; Fungi; Glomeromycota; Glomeromycetes; Diversisporales; Acaulosporaceae
Description: sequence contains 18S rRNA gene
Source: RNAcentral